GUGCCGUGCGGCGGGGCGGACCGCAGCGCGAGCAGUUCCAGGUCGCUGACCCCGUGCCGGUUCCACGCCAGCACGGCGCG
Molecule: transfer RNA, 80 nt
Filed under: Streptomyces albogriseolus
Lineage: Bacteria; Bacillati; Actinomycetota; Actinomycetes; Kitasatosporales; Streptomycetaceae
Also listed under: 1 other name
Description: tRNA-Trp
Source: RNAcentral